This 237-nucleotide ribosomal RNA is filed under the name uncultured bacterium. RNAcentral describes it as "partial 16S ribosomal RNA". It matches the Rfam family "Bacterial small subunit ribosomal RNA", at positions 97 to 334 of the family's 1533-position model. The record is from RNAcentral.
GGCGAAAGGGCGAGGAAUACAUUUCUAACGUACCCCGAGGUCAGGGAUAGCCCACCGAAAGGUGGAUUAAUACCUGAUGACCCCGCGAUUUCAUAUGAUUUUGCGGGCAAAGAUUUAUUGCCUUGGGAUCGGGGAAUGUGCUAUCAGGUUGUUGGUAAGGUAACGGCUUACCAAGCCUAAGACGGCUAGCGGGUGUGAGAGCAUGACCCGCCGCAUCGGGACUGAGACACUGCCCGG